RNAcentral lists this long non-coding RNA (1711 nucleotides) under Sarcophilus harrisii (Tasmanian devil). Its description in RNAcentral is "lncRNA (ENSSHAG00000007770.2)". The record is from RNAcentral. Lineage: Eukaryota; Metazoa; Chordata; Mammalia; Dasyuromorphia; Dasyuridae.
AACAAGGUGAAAGUUGACAAUCCAAGAAAAUGAUAAGCAUUUUAUUUGGGAAACAGGAGAUAUGAAAUAACUCAACCCUACUUUUGUUUCUUAUUAUUAAACAUCAAUUUCUAAUAAGAUGCAGAGACCAAUACAAGUAUGGAUUUACGGACAGCCCUUGUCCAAUGCUAUCAGCUAAGAAGACCAGUGAUUACAGAUGAAAAUGAUUCCAGUUUCAAAAUACACAGGUGAUGAAUGAAAAGGGGGGAAAAAAAUCAAACCAGGGAGUCCUGGUUCUGGUCAAGUUAAUUUUACACUGUUAAAAGGGCCGAAAGUAUGACUUUUAUAGAGCACCAAUAUUUGAUAUUCAAAUAGGGCAUAUAAAAGACACCUAAAUAUAUGAAAAGAAUUUCUGAUAUCUACUUAAUAGCAAGAUGCUUGCUGGUGAAAUACACCCAGGUUUCACUGGACUGUUACCAUAUUAUUUAUCAAACUAAGGAAUCUGAUCGACUUUAUAACACAACCAUAAAUAUCUCAUUAAAAAGAGAAUAAUUCUGUCAUUUCAAACCUAGGCAUCCAGAGGCAGCCAAAUAUCCAGAUACUUGGCACCCUUUAUACAAAAUGAAAGUGUCUAGCACUGAGCCUUGCAUACAGUAAGUGCUUAAUAAGUGGACGAACGAACACACAAAGAUUGGGAUAAUGAAGUUUUUCACAUAGAUGUCUAUGAAUAAUUCUAAGCAGACAUUUAAUUAAGCAAAAUAUGCUCCAACUAAUUUUUAACAUCUGUCUAGCUACAAAUUUAAUUGCUUUCUCGCUAACUAAAGCUAAAGUCUACCUAUCUUCAAAUGCUGUAGUAAACCAACAUGCAAUAAUGUAAUUUUGCCUUACUUAUUCCCAAGAUAGACAGAUCUUCUAUGCUUAACUUCUUGAUAAAGCGCAAACCAGCUUAGAUUUUUAAAUUUGAUGCAUGGUCCCUGUCUCUGUACUUACUCCAUGGAAAAUUAAAUUUGAAGCCAACAUUUUUAAAGAAAAAGACAAUCUUUUACCAUCCUACAAAAUGAAUUUCUAACAUGUGUAUCUUUAUUAUGCAGCUUUGUUACAAGCUCAUAAGGAACUGAGGUUUAAAAAAAAAUAUGAGCAUGACCCAAACAACACAGGACUCCGAGGAGCCUUGGAACAUUUGGAAACUACAGUUCCACAAUAACAGGAAGAGAAAUGAUACUCAUGUGUUACAAUCUACGGUUGUCAUUAAACCAAGGGGUAGCUUCAUAACCACAAGGCUGUCCCUCUCCAAAUCUUGCUAACCACAGAGAAGAAUGUGCACCGUGGAAGAGUGCUGAGCUUGAAGGGAGCCAAUCUCAGUAAUAUUUAAGGAAAAAAUAAAGGUAAUCCUUUUAAAAAAUAAUUCAUAAAAGGGAAUUUUUAUGCCCUAACAAUGAUAUUAAAUGUAUGAGUGGAAAUAAACAGAAUGUGUGUAUCCAUUUUUUUAUACACAUAGACACACAUCCUUAUGCAUACACAACAUUGGGCACAGUCUUAAACUUAUCGAUGACAAAAAAAAAAAAUCUCACUUUAAAACAAGGACACAUGAACAAUAAAAACCCAUAGUCUGACAUAUCAUAUGGGCUAACAAUAAAGACCCUACUCUGUGAGUUCCCGAACUAUACCAGAAAUUGGGAUUGAAAAAUAGGUGCUAUGAAUGAAUGAAAUGAAUGACAACAUUAAUAUUUUG